Micropterus dolomieu (smallmouth bass) is the source of this 599-nucleotide long non-coding RNA. RefSeq lists it as uncharacterized. Lineage: Eukaryota; Metazoa; Chordata; Actinopteri; Centrarchiformes; Centrarchidae. The record is from RefSeq and is a predicted model, not a curated record. The transcript has 3 exons.
UUAGGGCUUCACACCCAGAGGCUUUUUUUUGUAGGUAUGGACUUGAUGCAGCUGCCACAAAAAUGCUGUACAUUUCGGUGAAACGUGGCCCCGGGGCUGCUGGUGAGACAUCCUGCCACGCUGUGAAAAAACAUGUCGUGAAAUCUUUUUUUUUGUGCAUAGUUUGGUGAGUUUUUUAGCAGGUUUAAGAAACCAAAAAUGCUCUUCAUCUGCAGAAAGAAAGAAGGACAGAUAAAAUAAAAGGCAGGACUUGGUGUUCUGUCCAUGAAGACCAUUGUGUCCCUGCAUCAGGACACCUGAGGGCUGAUCUAAGGUCAGCAUCAUCGUUACAUCAGGGACACGUUCCACAGACAGUGAAGAGCGGCUGCUCUGUCUGCGUAGGUUUCCUCUCUCACUCCUAAGACGACGUUCAUCAUCAAGCUUCCUGCUGACUGCUUGAUGGAAAACCACAACAAUACGAGUAGAACAGAAAGAGGAAGGAGUUCUGACUUCACUGCUGAGCUGCACAACCAACCAAGCCUCUCUGACUGCGAGUCCCAGCAGCUCUCAGCUGUUCAGAGGAAACUCUGUCUCUCUGAGCUGUGAGGACGGCGGCGGCG